GAUGAAGAACGCAGCGAAAUGCGAUAAGUAAUGUGAAUUGCAGAAUUCAGUGAAUCAUCGAAUCUUUGAACGCACAUUGCGCCCGCCAGUAUUCUGGCGGGCAUGCCUGUUCGAGCGUCAUUACAACCCUCAGGCCCCCGGGCCUGGCGUUGGGGAUCGGCGAGGCGCCCCCCGCGGGCACGCGCCGUCCCCCAAAUACAGUGGCGGUCCCGCCGCAGCUUCCAUUGCGUAGUAGCUAACACCUCGCAACUGGAGAGCGGUGCGGCCAUGCCGUAAAACACCCAACUUCUGAAUGUUGACCUCGAAUCAGGUAGGAAUACCCGCUGAACUUAAGCAUAUCAAUAAGCGGAGGA
This 353-nucleotide unclassified non-coding RNA is filed under the name soil metagenome. RNAcentral's name for it is "partial contains 5.8S ribosomal RNA, internal transcribed spacer 2, and large subunit ribosomal RNA". The stretch from base 1 to 120 matches the Rfam family "5.8S ribosomal RNA", at positions 35 to 154 of the family's 154-position model. The record is from RNAcentral.